This 381-nucleotide unclassified non-coding RNA is filed under the name uncultured Gammaproteobacteria bacterium. RNAcentral describes it as "partial 16S-23S ribosomal RNA intergenic spacer". The record is from RNAcentral. Lineage: Bacteria; Pseudomonadati; Pseudomonadota; Gammaproteobacteria.
CCUCCUUAUAACGAAGUUACACUUACAGAGUGUUCACACAAAUAAUUAAUUACGAAGUUUUAAGAGAGCUCUAACCCAUGCGCACAGUAUGUGCUCAUCAGUUAGGGUUUUUAACCCGGACGUGUAAACGUCAUGCUCUUUAACAAUUUGGAAAGCUGAUAAAAUAAGGUAAACAUUAUUGUUUAUUUAAUUUGUUAUUCAACAAUUUAAAAAAUAAUUUUGAUUAUCACUGUAAGAGAAAACUCAAGCGUUAUUUAUGUCAAAACGAACAUGCCUAUACAACAUGUCUCGUUAAUAAAUAUGACACAAGAUGAUGCAAUCGAGAAUGUGAGAACAUUUAAGGUUGUAUGGUUAAGUGAAUAAGCGUAUACGGUGGAUGCC